Non-coding RNA from Triticum urartu, 1520 nucleotides. The record is from RefSeq and is a predicted model, not a curated record. Lineage: Eukaryota; Viridiplantae; Streptophyta; Magnoliopsida; Poales; Poaceae.
UUCCUCUUCUUCUUCUAAAACUGAUGGGAUGGUCUAUUAUUAAGAGUCGUAUCCUCACCCCCACCUCGCCUCCUCCUUCCUCAUCUCUUCUCAGAUCUCGCGUUCUCUAUGGCUCCAGGCAAAAUCGAUCCCCGGUCGCCCCCCUACAUGGGUGGAUCGGCGGCAACUGCAGGCUGGAGGCGAUUGUGUUCUCUGCGGCUCCAUGGUGGCUUCUGAUUCAAUUGAUCCCCUGUCAUCUUCCUUGGGCGGAUUUGGCAGCAACUGCGGGCUGGGGGUCAUCCUCUUCGUCUCCGCCUGGAUCACGCUCGCGGGCUCGCGCCCCUCAACAUAGCUGGUGCGGCCAGCUCCCAACAGAGGUAAGAAAUCGGACGGUGGCACCGCACAAUGACACAAAUGCAGAAAAAAGUGAUGACGCCAAUUGAAUCACUGGCUUCGCCUUUAAAUAACAGCCUCGACUACCAUCAUCCGGAGCAACUUCCCGGUGCGUGAUUCGCCGCAAGCUACUCACAAAUUUGCUACAAAUAGUGAGGGCUAUUUGUGUUUCAUCCUGCAUAGGUCUCUUCUUGCUCACCUUAAAACAAGGUUCCCAUCUCUGAAAUUUAUUGUAAUUGGAUUAACACAUGACAUGAACCUUAUAUUUAUUUCAGUACGUUUAGGGCAGCAAUGGCACAUCAUUCCUACCAUUCCAUGCAAUUCAUUGGCUCGAACAAAUCAUCUAAUACUCAGUACUACAACUUACUACUCUUUUUACAUAUGCCAAUCAUGAUCACCACAUAAGUUUAAAGAAAGGCUUGGAUGACGUUAGGUUGGCACAUACAAUAUAUGUGAGUCAACUACUUUUUUCCUUUUUCUUCUAUUCUACACAGGUUUGAGGUACUAGAAUUAUGCACAUACAAAUCAGCCACAUCCGCUUGCUGCAGAGUUAUUCGGUGGUAUCUUGAUCAUUCCACACGAGACACGCCCUGCUGCCACGCUCGCUCACCUGAUUCGGAGCAGCAAUUUACUGCAGCUAGCACGUGUAAGCAUGCCCACGCAUCCAUAUGCACCCUAUUUUCUGACUCUCUGAGUUAUGGUGGAGCUUAGCUAUUAUAUGAGAUCAAAGGGGAUUCACUUCGGUGAUGGAUACAAAGAUCAUUUGCAAGAGUUGGAUGUUUUAUGUGUUGUUAAAGUUACAGGAGAUUGAAAAUCAUGUCUUGGCGUUGGUGGUCAUAGUCUAUGGCUCUCAAUUUUGUCCUCCUUCACAGGUUUAGUCUUACUAGCUUUCAGUGGUUCACUUUUGCCAUUCAAAAUAUAACCUUCAGGUAUGUUCAGAGAGCAACAUUCAGUGUUUCAUACACAGGGUCCGAUAGAUAGUGCUGCAUUCCAGUCCUUGGCCGUGGAGUUUCAUUCUUGCACAUGUAGUUUUUUUGAGUUCAUUCUUACAUAUGUAUUGUGUUCUUAGCACCAAUAUUUUUCAACAUCAUCAAAUCUUAUUUUGUGGACACUUGCUACAGUAUAUGGUACACUGAGUUUGUCCAGUA